RNAcentral lists this ribosomal RNA (1821 nucleotides) under Lactarius trivialis. Its description in RNAcentral is "small subunit ribosomal RNA". It matches the Rfam family "Bacterial small subunit ribosomal RNA". Lineage: Eukaryota; Fungi; Basidiomycota; Agaricomycetes; Russulales; Russulaceae. The record is from RNAcentral.
AAUCAUAAGAAUUUAAUUUUGGUUCCGAUUGAACGUUGUUCAGUAGUUUAAGACAUGCAAAUCAUUGUUUCUGACAAUAAAUUAUAUUAUUAAUAAUUAUAUAAAAUAUUAUAAAGAAAUAAGGUGUAAAGGUGAGAAAAAUAAAUAAGUUACUUUAUAAUUUCCAUAGAUAGGAAAUAAAUUUAAUUAUUAAUAAUUAAAAUAAGUUAAAUAUAAAAAUUUAAUUUAUAUUAAAGGAAAUUUUCUGUUAUAAAAUACUAUUUAUCUUGAUUAGGUAGUUGGUAGAGUAAAAGCCUACCAAGCCGACGAUCAAUAGCUAUGUUUGAGAGAACAGAUGGCCACAUUGGGAAUGAAAUCUCCCAAGUAGUUUAAUACUACCAGCAGUCGAGAAUAUUAGUCAAUGCUCGAAAGAGUGAACUAGCUAACUGAAAUCAAUUAUAAUAAUUGAUAACAUAAGGGAAAAUAAUGAUAUUACCUUAUUAUUAGUGUCGUCCAAAUCUGGUGCCAGAAGACUCGGUAAGGCCAGAGACACAAACGUUAAUCGUCUUAAUCAGGCGUAAAGGGUUUGUAGGCGGCUUUUAAACUUACUUUUUAAUUUAAUUAAUAUUUUAUAUUUUAAUUUAAUAAGUAAAAAAAUAAAAGCUAGAAUCAAAUAGAGGAUAAAUUAAAUAAUGCUUAGAGUAGGUCUGAUAUCCUUAGAUACUAAGUAGAAUAUUAAAGGCGAAAGCUUUUUUUCCAUUAAUGAUUGACGCUCAGAAACGAAGGUGAGGAUAGGAAAUAGGAUUAGAUACCCAAAAUACCCCUCUCUGUCAACGAUGAAUGGUAGUUAUUAAUAAUAAAUUAUUAAUGGCAAUGUUAACACGAUAACCAUUCCGCCUUGUGAGUACGACUGCAAAGUUGAAAACAAAAAAAUUAGUCGGUUUCGGAGCAAACGAAGUGAAGCAUGUUAUUUAAUACGAUAAUCCGCGUAAAACCUUACCAGUUCUUGAAUAAAAACUUUAUUUUUUUAUAUAUUUUAAAAUUAUAAAGGAAUGUUUUAACUUUAAAUAAAAUUUAAAGAAUAUAUUAGAACAUUUAAUACAGGUGUUGCAUGGCUGUCUUCAGUCCGUAUCGUGAGAACUGAGGUUAAUUCCGCUAACGGACGAAAUCCCUAUUGUUAAUUAAAAAUAUUAUAAUUUAUAUAUAUUUUAUAUUAUAUACUUAACAAUUAAUGAUUCUUAUAGAGUUUCAUUUGGGGCUAAGACAAGUCGUUAUGGCCCUUAUGAACUGGGCUAUAGACGUGCCACAAAAACUUUUACAAAGUGAUGCUAUACUUUUUCCUAAAAGGAAUUAAAUAUUUAUUUUAUUAUUCAGGUUAAUAUUUUUAUUUUUGUUUUAAUAAAAUAUAUAAUCGAAAGAUUUAUAAUUCAUUAUUUUUAAAUUUUAUAGUAAAAUUUAAAUUUGGAAAGUAGGAGGAGCUAAUCAUUAAAAAAAGUUAAAAUAUAAAUUUAGACGGAUUGUUCUCUGCAAUUCGGGAACAUGAAGAAGGAAUUUCGAGUAAUCGUUGAUAAUUAGCGCAACGGUGAAACUAGCAUCCGUGAUGAACUAACUGUCUGUCGCUGGGAAGAAGCUUAUAAUGAUGGAAAUGGGAAUAUAAUUAGAAAUUUUUUCAUUAUUAAUAUUAAUUUAUAUUUUAUAUAUUUUAAUAUAGUUUAUUAUAUUAUUAUUAUAUUUUAAACGACUAUGUUAAAACUAAUUAGUUUUUAUUAAUUCAUUUGAGUAACAUCUCAAAAGUCAUAGCAAGGUAGCCGUACUGGAAAGUGCUGCUGGAAAAUAAAUUCA